AUUGAACGCUGGCGGCAGGCCUAACACAUGCAAGUCGAACGAGUGGCGGACGGGUGAGUAAUGUCUGGGAAACUGCCUGAUGGAGGGGGAUAACUACUGGAAACGGUAGCUAAUACCGCAUACCAACAGACGUGCCCAGAUGGGAUUAGCUAGUUGGUGGGGUAACGGCUCCCAAAGGCGACGAUCCCUAGCUGGUCUGAGAGGGUGACCAGCCACACUGGAACUGAGACACUGUCCACACUCCGUCGGGAGGCAGCAGUGGGGAAUAUUGCACCAUGGGCGCAAGCCUGAUGCAGCCAUGCCGCGUGUAUGAAGAAGGCCUUCGGGUUGUAAAGUACUUUCAGCGGGGAGGCGUUACCCGCAGAAGAAGCACCGGCUAACUCCGUGCCAGCAGCCGCGGUAAUUC
This 406-nucleotide ribosomal RNA is filed under the name uncultured bacterium. RNAcentral describes it as "partial 16S ribosomal RNA". It matches the Rfam family "Bacterial small subunit ribosomal RNA", at positions 30 to 526 of the family's 1533-position model. The record is from RNAcentral.